This 1047-nucleotide long non-coding RNA is filed under the name Salmo salar (Atlantic salmon). RNAcentral describes it as "lncRNA (ENSSSAG00000098325.1)". The record is from RNAcentral. Lineage: Eukaryota; Metazoa; Chordata; Actinopteri; Salmoniformes; Salmonidae.
CACCUACACUGCUGCUAAAAUGAAUAUUGUUUAGAUGUAUUACUGCCAUUACACUGCUGUUCAUUGAUCACCAUUUACUCUAGAAAUAGAUAGUAUCUUUCUCCUGUUUACAUGUAUAUAGUCAGGUUACCAGUAACUCUAGAAAUAUAGUAUCUUACUCCUGUUUACAUGUAUAUAGUCAGGUUACCAGUAACUCUAGAAAUAUAGUAUCUUACUCCUGUUUAAAUGUAUAUAGUCAGGUUACCAGUAACUCUAGAAAUAUAGUAUCUUACUCCUGUUUACAUGUAUAUUACCAUAAGUAUUGAUAUAGUCGGGUUACCAGUAACUCUAGAAAUAGAUAAUAUCUUACUCCUGUUUACAUAUAUAGUUGAAGUCGGAAGUUUACAUACAUCGAAGCCAAAUACAUUUCAACUCAGUUUUUCACAAUUCCUGACAUUUAAUCCAAGUAAAAAUUCCCUGUCUUAGGUCAGUUAGGAUCAACACUUUAUUUUAAGAUUGUGAAAUGUCAGAAUAAUAGUAGAGAGAAUGAUUUAUUUCGGCUUUAUUUCUUUCAUCACAUUCCCAGUGCGUCAGGAGUUUACAUACACUCAAUUAGUAUUUGGUAGCAUUGCCUUUAAAUUGUUUAACUUGAGUCAAACUUUUCGGGUACCCUUCCACAAGCUUCCCACAAUAAGUUGGGUGAAUUUUGGCCCAUUCCUCCAGACAGAGCUGGUGUAACUGAGUCAGGUUUGUAGGCCUCCUUGCUUGCACACGCUUUUUCAGUUCUGCCCACACAUUUUCUAUAGGACUGAGGUCAGGGCUUUGUAAUGGCCACUCCAAUACCUUGACGUUUUUGUCCUUAAGCCAUUUUGCCACAACUUUGGAAGUAUGCUUGAGGUCAAUGUCCAUUUGGAAGAUCCAUUUGCGACCAAGCUUUAACUUCCUGACUGAUAUAUUGACUGAUAUAUUGCUUCAAUAUAUCCAUAUAAUUUUCCUGCCUCAUGAUGCCAUCUAUUUUAUGAAGUGCACCAGUCCCUCCUGCAGCAAAGCACCCCCACAACAUGAUGC